GUACUUUGCUUUCCUUUGUAUGUAUUUCUUGUGUGUGGCAGCAUCACUGAUGGCUAGCUCUGUCUGGCAAGUAAUUCAAAACUACUGUUCAUGUACAAAGGAAAGGUAGACAAUUUACCAUACUCUGUCAUUACAGGGAGGAAUAGAAGAACAAAGAAACCGGGUAAAUACCUACAUACUGGCUCAUGUGUUGUGAAACAAACAGAACUGUAUUGUUCUAUCACAAACAGAACUGUAUUCAGCCAAAUAUUUUACUCCCUUUUGUAAUAAUCCAUAAGUAGGUAGUUUUUCUACAUAUGUAAUCUAUAUUUUUAGACAUAUAUUCAAUCAAUAUUUAUAGCCUGUAAAUUUGUAGAUCUGAAAGAUUUUAUAUAUUCACCAACAAACAUCUAUUUGUUAUUAUUUUUAAAGCCCUUAGAAAUUAAAAUUUACUAAUAUCCUGUUGGUUGAUUUCAUUCCAUCAAAUUAGGAUUUCAACACAGUUUAAAUCAUAUUGAUGAUUCAUAUCUUGUCAGGUCUUAUAAUUCCUGUGACAUGAGAGCACAGCUAAUAAAAAUAUGAAGCAAUUACUUUUAUUGAAAUCAUAGCUUUAUUAUGAUUAGUAGUAGAAGUAAAUUAUCUCUACAGACUGGCCUCACUCUAGUGUCUCUUGGGCUGUUGGGAGGUUUCAUAUAGAAACGGAAAGAUUCGUUUGCUCUUUCUUCUGCCAAGGGAGGAAAAAAAAAUGAAGGCGUAGAAUAAAGUCUAGGGCUGUUAAAGUAAUGUUGGCAUUAUUUCUCUAUCACGUGUGAGCCUGGCUGCCUGCUUCCUGAGGUAGGGCAUCCAGGAGGAGACUGUAUCAGAGCCUGUUUUCACAAGUGCAUUUGGAGAUCUGUCUUAUUGAUUAGCAGGGGGAAGGGGUGGGGGUCGGAGUGCGAGGGAAGGGGAGGACCAACUGACGAGUGGCUCACUGAAGCACAGGACAUUUUCUUCCUGAAAGAUGUCAAACAACUGAGAAACAGCCACAGAGGAAGUAGAAAAAUGGAAAAAUAAGGAGACCCUGGAAGAAAGCACGGCAUUUCUUAUGAAAGUCUUGAGGCUUUUUUCCCCCCUUUUCUCUCCUUUUCCUUUUUCUCCCCCCACCCUUCCAUCAUCUGACCUGCAAGGGCUAGAGUGACAGCGUCAUGCAAAUGCUGCAGUCCAGCAGGUCUGGGAGAGGGUGGCUGCUAGACUGUGAGUUAAUGUUAAUGAUGAGCGCGGUGAAAAUACCAGCCGCUGCCACCCCCUGCACACAGAAGCGCUCUGAGUCAGCAUCAGAUGCUUCGCCUCGCCUCUGCCGGGUGUCUGGUGCUGUGUGCGCGCGCGUGCUCGCUAGGCAUCCGUGUCUAGCCUAGGGGAGGGGUGGCGUGUGAGUGCGUGGAGGGUAAAAGCCAGUCAGUCAGUGAGAAGCAAAGAUCAACCACUUCAGAAGAACCAGAUUCCACUUCUAUGACCAGGACUUUUAUGUUAUGGCUGGUCCGAUUGUUUUACCCUGCGUUCUAUGCUACUAAACCUUGGAUCAUUCCUAAAGUACAAAUUCUGUUCUUGAACCACAAACAAGCUAAAAGAUCGGAGGAAAUUCAGUGAAUAUGCAGGAUUGGGAUUGUGUGUUUUCAAAAGUGUUGAGAUUUAUAAUGCAAUCAUUCAAGAAAUAGAAUCAUUUUUUUAUGUUGUUGCCAGCAUUUUAAGUUAGCUGUUUAUUAAGUGACAUUCAUCAAAUAACUACAGAUUAUGCAUGGAAAUAUUUGCUGUCUGAAUAGUUUGGAGAUUUAACGAGAAAAUCAAGCUUCAGAGGAUUCUUUGGAUCAAUAUCAUUCUGUUUAGAAGUUCUAAACACAUCAGUAUUCCAGUGAAGCUACAAAAGACUUGUAGAGGUGUCUGAGGAUUUGUGAGCAUCAAGUGAAUGUUCUAUGGAAUCAUCUUUCCUUGCCUUUGAAUUACCUUUCCCUAGGCCAUGAGUCAACAUCCAUAUUUUAUUCUUCCAAAUUGGGAUUGCAAGUUGUAAAGAGAGUGGAAGCUUAGACUCAGUGGACAUCUUUGUUGCCAUUGUGGAAAUAUCCUACUUGAGAAUGAAAGACAUGGAAUACACCAAUUUGUAACUGGAAAGAAGCCAUUUAUUUAAAAAGUUGUUCAUUUUUCCUCUCUCUUCCAAGUUCUUUCUGCCCUCUCUGACUCUCCCAUUCCAUGCCACUUCCUUUUUUCCUCUUUCCCUCUUUCUCCACUGUGUUGAUUUCAUUCUCAGGUAGGCUCUUGGCAUUUGGUGGUAAAGUGGAAGGUCUCUGGGAGCUCCAGAAUUAUGUAUCAUUGUAACAUCUUGGAAUUAUAGAAAAAAAAAGAGAAAACAAGAUUCUCUUUACCCACGUAUCAAUUUCAGGGAUAAGAAAGGCUCUGAUUGCCUGUUUUGGCCACAUGCCUAUUGGUGGAUCCAUUUCUGUCCCCAAAUUAAUAUUUCUCUGAUUGAACAUCCACUGUAGAGAAAGUAGGCAAGGAAAUUGACAUAGUAAAGCCCUGAAAAAUGAAUGAGGGUCUGACAAUGGCAGAGAUUGAAAGAAAUUUAAAGCAGGCCAAAACAUGUAAACAGGACUCUUGAAACAACCACUACCAACUUCUAAACUGUUCGGCAUGAUGCUAUCUUAUAGACUUUAGUCACAUAUUUUUGUAUUUGAAUUGACCUGGUAGGCUUGGUCAUACCUAUCAACAUGUACCCCAUGGAUUAUUCGGCCAAAUGUAUUCUGUAUAGCAUGGAAAUUGUAAAAUAUUUACUGCAUCAACUUUGACUCUCAUGGUGAUUAAUUACAGUUUAGUGAUAUCAUCUAUUAUCAUUUACUUUGUUGGAUACAUCAAAAAAGUAAGCAUUUAGCCUCAUUUAGGAAUUGGAAAUUUUAUAAGUUACUAAGAAUUCUUAGAAAUAGGAGUUCAGUUAAGAAGAGAUAGUGAUUUUAUUUUGUUAUCUAAUGUGUCUAUCCUUAGCCACCAUGAUUUGUUCAUUCUGUUAGAGCAAAUUUAUAUACUUACACCUUUUAACUUUGGUAUUGGAGAGAUUUCUAUUGCUAAUUAUUGGAAAUUCUUCGUUCAUGAAUUGAUUUCUAACCUUCACUGUGAGAUAUAUAUAUAUAUAUAUAUAUAUAUAUAUAUAUAUAUAUAUGGUUGGUAGAUUCUUAUACUUUAUGCUUUACUUUUUAGCAACAUUGUUUCUCAUAAUAUAACCCUGGAAGCUUUUAACAUUUUACUAUCAAUAACUGUUUUUUAGAGAUCUUCCUCUGAGAAAAAGAUUAAUUUGCUAUGAGUAAUGAUUCUAAUAUAAAACAUUUGUUUUUUAUGAUGCAAAUGAGAAAAACAAUAAAUGUAACUUAGAGUUUGAAAAUUUAUUUUAACAUUCACAAUUAUUCUUACUAAUUAAUCAAAUCACAAAAUUAUGCUGUAGUUUCUAGUUUAUUAAAAUAAGUUGUCAUAUUUGGAACAUAUUUUUAUUGUCCUCUUAUGAAUAUGUGUUUCUAAAAAGUUGAAAUAUAGAUUUCCACAAAUGUUUGUAAUUUAUUCUGUGGCAGGAUGAUACCUAUUUCCCCAUACAAUGCUUGUUUAUUUCCCACAGAGUCAAUCUUCUAGAUUGUAUUUUAUCAUUCUUUUAUCACGAUGGAGAAAAAAAGACCCAGGUCUUCUUUAAGCCUUGCUGAUUGGAUAAGGAAAAGGAUGGCUGUCAUCAACAGCCUUUCCAGACACUAUACUGUGGCUCCAGACAGUCAGCUGGUGCUAUCACUUUGUCUCAACUAUAAAUCACAAUUUCCUAAUGGCCAAGGUUGACACGCUGACAUUUUCAAGAAGAGUAAAAGACCUGAUUUGAAUGGAAAUCAAUUUCAUUUCACAAAUCUUGUGUUACUACUUCAAGUCUCUUCUUGUGUCUUCUUGAGAUUUGAGGUUUUCAUGAUCAUCAUAGAAUUAUUUGAAUUUUAUAUUGUGACUUUUUUUUAGCUAGAAAACUAGUUUAUUAUUUCUAUAUUCAUUCUUAAUAUAAAAAUUAACUUGUAAAUUUUAUAUUAGAAAAUAUCAUUAAUAAUCCAGAUUUUACUCUAACUAGGGUACACUGAUAGUUUUCAAAAUGAUAGUAGUAGUACUUACUUUGUUUUAAAAAUGUUUGUGACAUGUUCUGGGAUUUAAAGAUAUAAGCUGUGUAAACACAGAAUUAGGCUUUGAUUAUCUAAUAAUAAAUAAUAUCAAAUAUUGAGUGAUUUUGAACUUCAAUUAAGCAGGUCUCAAACCUAAAAUUCUAUGAAGAAUAUUUGUACUUUUAUGUUCUUUCAUAUUAAAAGAAAGUUUUAAGUAUUAAGUUUUAAAUAUUCUACAGUCAGUGAUGAAUAACAAGCACUUAAUUGUGUUAGGUAGUUUCAGACGUUAAACUGACACAGCUUUUAAUCACUCAAUCCAAGUGAGGUAGAAAUAACUUCAUACUUUAUUAGUGUAAAGUUCUUUUUAGGAGCUUGGCACUGAAUUUUGUGUAAAAGUUAGUGCAUUUGUUAGACAAUUGUUAUCUGGGUGCCUACUGAAGUAUAAGCAAAGUUUGUGAAGGACCUGCAGUGUUCACAGAGGUUUUCCUCUUGAUGGUGGAAUUUCACAAUGUAGUAGACUAGGAUCUCUUUAAAUGUUUGGGGCCAAAUACAAGGAUUUAAGUGGCAAGAUUCAUCUGUUUCCAAUCAGCAUGGCUUAAGACAUCAAUCCAGAGAAUAUAUCAGAACCAUCAAGAAAGCUUUAUGAAGACACAUCAUUCUUCUUGCCCUGUAAAUUCUGACUCAGCAGAAAUCUCAAAAGCGUAUGAUGUGCCAGGCACUGUUACAGGGACAGGAAUAUGGUGAUGAACAAAUAUGAAGAUGCUCAAGAAAGCCCUCUUGCCCAUUUCCCAUGUGAAGUUGAAUAAGAAGAUGGCUGUCUAUGAAGAAGCAGGCUCUCUCCAGCCAUCUAGUCUAUGAUGUCUUGGGGAAACAGCAUGAAAAAACUAAAACUGAAGUAAACUAGAGAAAUGGAGCUUUAGAGAAGUAUACUCAUGAACAAAGCUCUGAAGCUUUAGUCAACCCAACUCUCCAUUUGCCCUCCUGAACACCAAAAAACAAGAUUCCAUCCUGUGAUUCAUGCAGCAACAGCGUUCAAGUGAUGGCAAAAAUGAAAGUCACAGACAAGUCAGUAUGCGGUACACUGGGCUGAACAUACAGAGUUUAGUGUUUCUUUGGAGGAAUUGUGACAAUAACAUUUGUUCCCUCUGCCCUCCUUCCCCUCCAUUUCCUGUAAAAUCUACCUUUUCCUACUCUCACUUGCUCUCAUACAGUUUGUGUAGAACUGGCCUAUCCCUGGCUCAAAAGCAUGACCUAUUCUGGCCAGAGAGAGUGGGUCAUACCUCCCAGCAAUCUCAGGAAGAAUGGGAAACUUGGUAAAUUAGUAAUAGUAUUUUGAACUUUGAUGCAACCAUGAAUAAAUAUUCCAACUUUUUCCUUGACUAUGAGUAUGCUUCUUGUUUUGCUUGAACUAAUUGAAAUUAAAUAUUAUUUUCAACUGGAAGAGUCCCAAUUGAUAUUUAUUCUAAUUUCCUAAAAUUCAGAUCCAGUAGGUCAGCUUAAAAAUUUCUAUGACUCACCAUUUCCUAUAAAGUCCAAAUCUUUACCUAAUUAUGAGUAACAUAUAGGUUUAACUGUAAUGCAGUUAAUAUGUUCUCUCUCACUGGUUUAUUGAUUAUAGUGUUAGCCAAGAGCGGACAAGGUAGAAUAUUUGAUCUAAUUAUCAUUCUUUUAUUAUCCUUAUCAAACAGACCUCGAGAAAGCAACAGACAUGCGCUUAGAACUUACAUGGCUUUUGGCAGAUUUUCUUUCCCCUUUCAUGCAGUUGUUACAGAGGAUUUGGCAUGUACUUUGUUUAUUAUUGUAAAAGCAUAUUAUUGACAGUGUAGAAAUUUUAGAGAAUACACCUAUUUUGUUUGUACUGAGAGAAAUUAUUGUAGAGAAGUGAAUCUUCAUGUUUUUCUUGGAUCAUUAAUGUUCACAUUAUCAGGGAAAUUGUUAGUGAUGCACAUUUUUGAACCCAACUUCAAACCAACUGAAUCAGGAAAUCUUUAGAUGGCACGCAGAAACCUGUAUUUUAACACAAUUAAAAUCAUCCCAUGAUACAUGAAAAAAUAUUUGAACCAUUAUGGGGCCUUGGGGAAACUAUGCCUCAUAUCCUUUUCUCUGACAUAAAUAAAAUGCUCAGUAAAUUUUAGAUAAUGCUAUAGCUGUUGAAGCAACAUUCUGAGAAACAUGCUUACUUGUAAUAGUCAAGCAAGGUUUAUUUUAAAUUAAGAACUUACCUCUAAAGUCACGUAAAGAUUGAAGUCAGAGAAUUGAAUGAGUGAUUAAAUUCAUACUGAAAAAUGAAAACAAUGGAUAGCUCUUAUAAAUCUUAGAGUAGUAACUUAAACCUAGUAUAACUUCAGUUGACAUAUAUAUAUAGAGAGAGAGAGAGAGAGAGAGUUUUAAGUGUAGUUUUGCAUUCACCAAAAUGCAGAAACAUGUACUAACUUUAGUUAAGAUAAUAUUUAAAUCUCUAUUAUUUUUAAACUGCUGUGUUUUCUUUUUACUGAAAGUUAUUUUUCAGUUCUAAGGGCUUAAUUCUUUUCUAGCCCCAAGGACUCAAAUGUUAACUUCAUGUUUAUAAAUAGAUGAGCCUGAGACAUCUCAUGUCUAGUAGCACGUAUUUUUGUUGGUGAAACAUUUUCUAAAAUUUGUAAGUAACUCAAAGUUUUUGCUCUUGAUGUACAGUAGCCCAAAAAAGGUACACCUUCUCUCUACUGUGGCCAUUGCCUUCUAGGAAGUUUAAAGUGUCCCAAGAGUUUUCUGGAUCUCUAUUUGCAUGCUGUUUGGAUGUAUAGGUUCAGAAUUUUGCUGGUUUUCCAUUUCAUACUCUAAUAUCAUAUAGACUGCACUUGCUCCUUUAUAGUUAUACCAUCAUAUAUCUCUAGACUUGAAAAUUCAGUUAUAUGUUGUAUGCAGGACAGUAUUUGCUUAUUAAAAAUAUUAAAUUCCAGGCACUAAUCUAGGCAUUAAGUUCAUAAUGAUUAUAUGAGUCACUGUGACCAUAAUGAUAAUAUCUAUAAACCAUAAUUUUCCUAUUAGGCAGAAACUGAACUUUAUUUUGUUUCUUUUUAUCUUCAUAGAGAUAUGGGAACAUGCAUAGGUGCACAAGAAAAACUUUUGGAUCAUUAAAGUACAUAGUAUAUUUUUGAGAGAUUUUGAGAAGCCUGAUUAGAGAAGGAAACAUGAAAAGUAUAGGCUUAGGAAGUGGAAGAUUAUUUGUGCUGCAGUGUGUUAUAAAAAGAACUUAGUAGAGGUGCUUGGUUUUUAGGUUAAAUAACAGAGAAAAUAAAUGUCACAGCAGUUACAGAUUGACUGAAAUUAUGUUUCAUACAGUGCACUCCUGCUUGACCUUGUAGAGACUUGUGGGAAGCAUCAAAAAGAGCACUGAAAUCAGGCCUGGAGAAACAUGUUUUGAAGCUUGGCUUUACCACUAUUAGCUGUUUGACUUUAGACAAAUUUAAGUUCAUGAAAUUCAUAUAAACUGGCUCCUUAGAUCUAUCAGGAUAUUGCAAACAUCACCAGAACAGGAUAUUUGAAAGAACUUCAAUACAUUUUUCUAAAUGUUCAAUGUUUUUCUAGCAGAAUAGGAUUGAAUUUGGAGGCAGGCACCUUGAGUUGAAAGACAGUGAUGAAAAUGUGAGUUUUUGGAAGAAGGGAAACCAUGUCCUAAAUUAUGAUCUGUAAGGACUGCCAUAAAAUUUUCUUACCAAAAUCUGGAGUGGGUGUAAAUGGUUUCGAGAAUAUGUAUCUUACAAACUGUGUCACUAUGAACAUGAGUGCACAUAUAUCAUAGCGGUGCAGUUUGUAAUAGCUAAAACUUGGAAACAGCCCAAUUGCCCAUCAAUUGGAGACUGGUAAAGAAAAUGUGUUUUUUCUUUUUUAAAUGGAGUAUUACUCAGCCAUAAAGAACAAGAAACUAGAGACAUUUAUAGCUAAAUGGAUGCACAUUGAGGUCAUCUUCUUAAGUGAAAUGAAUAGAACACACAAGUGUAAAUACUGAAUACUUUCUCUGGUGUGAGAAACUGAAAGUGUAAAUAAGAAUCAAAAUGUAUAAUAGAUAAUGUGAAAUAGGAAGCAAAGGUCCAAAGGGGGAGUGGGAGGUGUAGGAAAAAGGAAAAAAGGGAAAGGAAUAAAUUUGAGAAAAAAAAAAGGGAACAAAGUUUGUAAAUAGGGAGGGGUGGAGGGGUUGAACAGAGGGCAGGAGAAUGGAGAAAAAAUAAGAACCAAAAUAUAUUAUGUAAAGGUAGAAAUUCCCAAUAAUGAAUGUCAGCAUAUUGUAUACCUAAAAUGUUCCAAUAAACUUAAUGAAAAAAGUAUAUGUAUCUUGAUCAUCAAAAGUCUCACUAUACACCUAUAAUUUAAACUGUUAUUGUAUGACACAAUUGAGAUAUAUUAAAUUUCUUUUAUUCUCAAAGACAGUACAGAAAACAAAAGGAAGUUUUAUUUCUCAUAAAACUUAUUUUCUCAUACUCUUCAUAAAAAGUAUAGUAUAUUUUCUGAACAGUGAUUUCCUGGGUUAUAGUUACUUGAUAUUUGUUUUUCUAGGCACAAGGAUAUUGUGAUUGGUUCUACAUUUAUGAAAGUAACAAACUAUGAACAUAGUAUAAUACAUUUUGCUUGAGUGGAAGCAGUAGUAUAAAUAUUUCACUAAAAUUAAAACAAGUAUUUUAGGUUGUAUUCUUAUUAGGUUGUUUUCUUAUUUAUAAAUAGACUUGAUUAUUAUUGAAUAUGUUUCUCAUUGGCAUUUUAAAUUUUAUUAUAUUAUAUGGUGAUGCACCAUAUAAAGAUAUUUUGGUCAAUGAUGGUUCACAGUGGUAUAUUCCAUAUGGCAUAGGUGUGUAAUAGACUAUAUCAUUUAGAUUUGUUCUCUCUAUGAUAUUUACACAACAAAAUUAUCUAGAACAUUUUUUCUUAGAAUUUAUCUAUAAUUAAGCAAUGCAUGAUACCAUUUAAUAUCAUAUAUAAUACAUUUUUAUUUUAUUACAUUUUAGAAAACAUAUUAGAUUGAAAAUCAGAAAACAUAGGAGGUGAUCUUUAAUUCACACAAUCUGUGUAUCAUAUCUUUAUCUUCCUUUCACCUCUUUCUCAGUAUAAUUAUGUAUUCUACUGUCUUACCCUCUAACUUAUGCCUAGGUCUUCCUCCAAUGAGUCAUGCAUUCACAAGCAUAUGGAGGGAGACAUUUAGUCUUAUUCUUUGAUAUCUUUAGCACAGGGACUAGAACAUUGUUGAUGCUUCAUAAAUAUCAAGGCAAAUACAUUCAUUUGAAUUGAAUAUUAGCCUUUGAUCAAUUCAAUAAAAAUGGUGCAAAAUUAGUUAAGACUGCCAUCAAAUCUUUUGUAUUUCCUGUCAAAUUAAACAAUAAUUUGAUUCUCAGAGAUUCUUAGUACUUCAUUUACAAACAGAAAUCUGGGAAAUAAUAUGUCUAUUCUUAUAUUCUUCAAAAGAUAUGCUUUUCUUUCAGGGAAUGGAUAUACUAAGAAUAUUCAUAGAAGCUGAAUAUAAGUGACCAAUAUGAUAUAGCCCAAAGGUGUGUGCAAGUUGAAGGGCAGAUAGGAAGAGAUUAUGUCAAGGUAGUAGAUACUGUCUGUGAUAGUUGCUAGCAGAGACAAACACUACCUGAUGCCUUUUCACUAUCCACUUCCCAAGCCAUGCCAAUUAAGUAGAAAUGUGUCCAGCUGAAAACUUGUUUAGUAACCUUUGGUCCAAAUAGAAGUAGGCAUGUGACUCAAUUCUGACCAACAAUAAAAUUGGUGGAGGCUUCCAUGUAAUUUUUAUAGGGGAGAUAAACUUACUGGAAUGGCCUUUUAGUCCUUUUCCCUGCCUCCUGCAUGGAUGCCUGGAGGUGCAAUCAUUGCAAUCAUGAGGAUUAAAACCACAUUUUAUAGUUGGUUUCAGUAAGAGUAGAAAAGAAAUCUGGAUCAUAAGGACAUUCGGCUACAGUACUAAUCCUGAUCUUUCUAUCCAUGGACUUGUUACAUGAGACAAAUAAACCUUUUAUUUAUUUAAUGUACAGUUUGUUGGGCUUUCUCAAAACUAAACACAAUCCUCAUAUAUUUGCCCUUCUGGGAAAAAAGGUAGUACAUGACUUUCAAAAUCUAAUGAGAUUCAUGUAUGACUUAAACCACUCUACUGAAGCAGUUCCAUUUCAGUCCAUGGUGCAAGGCAGUUGCCCUGAAUAACAUAUAGUGUCUAAUAAUUUUGUUUCUUUGUUAGUUUUUCCUGAAGCCUAGGGUCAAAGAGCCCAGAAAAUUGUAAACAUAGAGAUGUAAUCUCUGUGCACAUUGGCUGAUAAAUGCUAUUAUGAUUUGUAUGCCUAGAUUUGGUAAAGAACGAAUAUUCAACAUCUCUACAUAAUAUUGCUUUAAUUAAAUUCUUUUCUCUCUGGCUGUCAUACAUGCCACACAGGCGCAAUCAACGAACAUUGACAAUUUGCUUAAAUCUUACUCUUUGUCCUAUUUGUAUAAUUUAUUGUGUCAGUGUUCCUCAAGUGGUGUGCUCCUGCAACUCAUCAUCUAGAAAUCCUUCCCAGAUGUGCUGAAAUUUUUCAUUAAUUUGUACAAGUAUUGUUUUGUAAUUAAAUACACACGCUUUUGACUGGAAGAGAAAACACCUCUCUUUAAUCCCAGAGAAUUAUUUGGCCUUGAGAAAAAUUGAUUCAUGCCCUUCCCACUUCAUCCUCCUUAUUCAGAUAGAUAUUCCUGAAGCAUUCGCUGCUUUAUAAAUUUACUUGGUCCAAAGAUGAAAAAGAAAAAUCCAUUACUUUAAAGAUUUCUGCAGGAUCUACCUAUAACUCACUUUUUAGUUUCCAAUUAAGAAUAACAUAACUCUAGAGUAGGCUUCAACCCUAAUUUUCCAAACUGGAAUACAAUUUCAAAGCAGGAAGUGACAAUCUCUGUAGUGGUACUUGUCCACAGAGGUGAUAUUUCUGGUUAUUGAAUUUCAAGACUAGAAACUAAGCUUACUAUCUUUUAGCUUGGUAACUGUAAAGAGAGGGUGAGGACUGCUCUGUAUAUUAAUAAAGACUAUCAUAAGCAGCUGAAGAAAUUGGCUUAGCUCUACUUCUUAGUGUCCAUGUUUGUUUGUUUGUUUUUUGGUAUGAAGCAUGGAAUAUAAAACUAAUACUGCAUUUACUACAUUCAUUUGCAGCUAGGUUCCUGAGUGACAUUAGGUUUGGCUGGUUUGAUAACCAGGGUCACAUUUAGAAGGGAAAUGUGAGGCAAAUACCACAUGGUUGACUGAUUCUAUUUAUUUCUAAUGACCUUUACUAGGCACACUUUGUAUAGAAAAUAAUGAGCAUAUUUUAAGUAUAUAGUUUAAUGAGUUCUGACUAAUUUAUUGAUCUAUUUAACCAAUAUCAAUAUCAAUGUGUAUAUUAAUUUCCUUACUCCAUAAUAAAACUUUGUGCUCCUUUCCAGACAACCCCCAAAUCCUGGACCCAGACAACUAUUGAUCUGCUUUGUAUUGCCAUAGAUCAUAUUUUCUUUUCUGAGAGAUUCAAUAAACAGAUUCUUAUAUUAAAUCAUCUUAACUCUGGCUUAUUCCCAUCACCAUGAUAUUUUGAAAUAUAUCAAUACUGUUUGUAUAGUAAGCAAAGAUUUAAGAUGGGCUCAAAAAAUCUUCACUCCUGGUAUAUGUACCUUUUACCUCUUAUCCAACCAAAGUUAAUUUAAAUGAUACUAUGAAAGGAUUUUCAAGGUAUAAUUAAAGUCCUUAAUAAGUUUGCUUUAAGUUAUGUGGAUUUUCCUAGGUGAGCCAGACCUAAGUAGGUGAGCCAUUAGAAAAAUUAGAGCUAUUCAAAGAACAGGAGAAAUUUUGUCACCGACUUUAAAAAGAUAACUUCCAUUUUGUGAUGAAGUCCAUAUGUCAAGUAGGCCUAGGCAGCUUCUAGGAGCUGAGAAUCACCCUAGUUUCAUGGCCAGCUAGCAACCUUCCCUAUAACCUCAGACCUAUAAACAUAAGAAACUGAAUUCUGUUAAAAACCAGUUAGAAAAACCUUGAGCUUUAAUUGAAAUUGAGGCUCUGACCAAUACCUUGAAUUUAACCUGAUGAGGCCUGAAGAGAGAACUCAAUUAUGUUCUUCCAGGUUUCUAUCCUACAGAACCAUGAUUUAAUAAAUGGACAAUAAUUGAAACUUAAUUGCUAACAAGUUGCUAUAAACUCUAGGAAUGUAGUUAAAUAAUUGACAUCCCUCAGCAACUGAGUAUUUUAUUUAUUAAAAAAUAAAUUACUAUAUGGGAGAGAUUACACAAGGCUGUGAAUACCAGGAAGGUGUGAUAUCUAGGGUUUGAUUUUAAAAGCUGUGUAAUUUUGUAGUGAUUUGUUAGGCACCAAUGCAAAAUGAAUAUACUGAAUGUCA
Molecule: long non-coding RNA, 12466 nt
Organism: Heterocephalus glaber (naked mole-rat)
Lineage: Eukaryota; Metazoa; Chordata; Mammalia; Rodentia; Bathyergidae
Source: Ensembl